CCCAGUUUUUUCGGGAUGUGUUGCAAGCAUCAAGUAAGUGAAUGUUUGCAAAAUGUUAAUCAUCCAUCCUGGUGUUUGUACUGUUUUAGCUGUGUGGAAAUGUUUGGUGCUCAACAUGCUGUAGGUUUGAUUCCAUCUUCCUCCACCACCAUUUUAGCGUCUUUAGGUAAGUGUUAGGGCUUGAGCAACGGACGAACCCAGAAUGCAGACUAGCAGGCAGCAUGAUGGCAAUUUCUAGUAGCCUCCUGGUCUUCACUCCUGCUAAGCAAGGCUCCUAACCCAUGCUCCCUGGUUCAAUAACCUCCUGGAUCUCAACACGACUACCGGCACACCCAAGGCUCCUCACUGGCUCUACACUCCAGAAAUCAUUUCAGCCUCCCUGGAUGCAGUUAUCUCCCUCCAGCCUGGACCUCCGUUCCCACCAUGGCACACCAGACUGAAUCACUGAAGCCUCCUCCAGAUCCUGUGUGACUAACUUUUCAUAAUAAACUGUUGAACUUUA
Molecule: long non-coding RNA, 502 nt
Organism: Girardinichthys multiradiatus
Lineage: Eukaryota; Metazoa; Chordata; Actinopteri; Cyprinodontiformes; Goodeidae
Exons: 3
Source: RefSeq, a predicted model, not a curated record